CUGGAGUUACUUGAGAAGCCAGGGAGGAAAGAGAAAACAAUAGCUUGGAUAAAAAACACCCCAGUCAUAAUUGGAUGAGCAGGCUUAGAGGCGUGGGGAGAGUGUCCUGAGCUCCGGUCCGUGUGAAGGCGGGACAGAUGUGGGGGAAUGAAACCAUGUGAGUACAAACCCCGCAGCAAGGGAGGGAGCAGUGGAAGGCUGCUGGGCUGCAGCAGUGAGAUGCUGGCAGCCUGGGGAGGUUGUGAUGGAGACGGAGGAGUCGGCUGUGAGCAAUGCUGGCUGCUCCCGUGGCUUCCAAGGAUGAGUGAAUAGGAUUUGCCAGGUCUGGGAACAGAGUGGAGGCAUUUAGCAAAGGAACGACACCAAAGCCUAAAUUUAGUGCCCUGUGUUUGUGAGCAAUCUGCAAUUAGCAAACAAUGAAGCUGAGCAUGUGAUGGCUGCAGAGAAAGGAGCUGUGCUAGGUAGGUGGUAUUUUUUUCUCUUAAGUAAACAACUUAUAGGAAAAUACAGCCAGGCUGCACGUUUCUGGCUGCUCCUUUCCUGCUGUGCACAUGUCUGUUGAUGCUGGGAUAUCGAUGUGGGCUGCCUCUGAAGUGCUUCCCAGGUUUCAGCAAGCUGCUUCCACACGGCAAGCACUGAGCAUUGACAGUCUUUUAAAGUAUUCCCAGUCUCUUUAACAUGAUGGUUGUAAAACCCAUUAUCCCUACUGAACUAAUUGUGUUUAUGUGCUGCACCAGGUUUCCUCCCUUGCCCUGCUUCCCACAGGAUGGAUGGAUGCCCCACCGUCUCUCUCUCUUCCCAUUCCUCUGCCCUUUUCUGAGGAUGUGAUCGGUGCUGAGUUCAGGUUUUGUUAUUAGAGGUGGUUGCUGUGGUGCACUCGCUUGGGAAGGGCUGGAAGCAUUUAGCUCUGAGGAAGGAGAUCUACUGCCAUCUGCACCUGGGGAGAGAAAGAGCUCCUUGUCUGGAGGGAGGACAUCCCUCUGCCUGCAGCAUGAGGCUCAGCUCUGCGCUGGGUAGGAGUGGUGCAGCGAUUUCAUCAUUGGGCAAAGUGGCUUUAAUAACAGGCUUCAUUUGGAACGUGUACAGCUGGAUCUAAGUAUGACACAGAAUGGCCAUGCACACGCAGAAAGACAUUUUUCUGUAGUUUAGGCAUCAAGAUCGCUGGGCUAUUUAUGCAGUACCCGUGUGAACAGAUACUGAAAGGCAGCACAGCUCAGACUCAGCGCAGAGCAGGAUGAAACUUUAGGAAAUGUUACACCAGAUACAAUCAGCCCUUUGUCAAGCCCAAGGUGCAGGGCGGCUAAAAGAAGAAAAAGAAAGAAAGGAAACCUGGAAUGCUGCUUCCUUAUUGCAGGGCAGACACCCUGCAUUAAGUUCAGGGCUUCCCCAAGAGCAAAGUCCAGGACUGGGAGGGAUUCGAUAGCUGCUGGCACUGUGAGCUAGCAGUGCUGCCACACUGACUCACCUCAUCUGUUCAGUUAGCUAAGCAUUCAGCUAAUUGAUUUUUCUAGAGAUGAAUGCUCUUGGGAUGCAGCCAGCUGCUGCUCUGGAUCCACGCACGGGUGACACGCAGCUGUUGGGAUGGCUCUGGUAGUCCCACUUGCCUUACUUGUGUCCUGAGCACACUAUGCUCCCCUUCCAAAUGCCUGCCUGCUAUGCUGGGGCUAUGUCAUUGAUCAGCACAGAUCUGUGGGGCCAGGCAAAAGCUGGGGCUGCCUUGUUAGCAUGUCCAUCCUCAUAACAUGCUGAUGCAGGGGCUGCCAUGUGCCUGUAUGGAUGGCCUCAUUUCUGCUAGGUAUCGUGGGCAUGAGCGUGCUCAAGCUGCAUGGAUGGGUCCCUCACUCUGCAUUACUCUCUCAAGCACAUUAACACUGAGGGCACUUAAUUCCCCUCCCUGUUUAUUUUUUGUGAGUCAUUCCAUAAGUGAGGACCCAAGGGAAAUGCCCAGCUGGGGGGCUGCAGGGUGGCUUCAGCCCUACUCGUCUGCAGGAGAGGCUUGCCAGAAUCAGUACAGGUAGACCUGAUGGCGGUCUGUGGAUCAUAGAAUCAUAGAAUGGCCUGGGUUGAAAAGGACCACAAUGAUCACUGAGUUUCAACCCCCCUGCUAUGUGCAGGGUCGCCAACCACCAGACCAGGCUGCCCAGAGUCACAUCCAGCCUGGCCUUGAAUGCCUCCAGGGAUGGGGCAUCCACAACCUCCUUGGGCAACCUGUUCCAGUGUGGCACCACCCUCUGGGUGAAAAACUUCCUCAUAUCCAACUUAAACCUCCCCUGUCUCAGUUUAAAACCAUUCCCCCUUGUCCUGUCACUAUCCACCCUCAUAAACAGCCAUUCCCAUUCCAGUUGCUAUGCUCCCUUCAAGACAAGCGGAUGCCACCAGCAGUGCAGUUGUUGGGUUCCUUGGACAAAUACAAACAGGUGUGAGGGAUCUUGAUGCCUCAGGUGCCAUCUGUCCAUGUGUCUUUGUGAGGAGGCUUUGCAUGCCAGCAGGGAGGAGACAAACCCGUGCUGAGCUCCCGUGUCUCCUCUUCCUAUGGCUGGCAGUGGUGCCCACCACGUGAAGAAUCCCAUAGGAUCCUUCCAUCCAUGCUCAGAUGCCUUGAGUGAGGCAGGCAGGUGGGUGGGUAAGCCAGGCCCUCCUUCCCGACCUCUUCCCCUCUGCUCCUUCCUGUUGCUCAGAGCACGCUGCUGAGUCAGAGCCACUAAUUUGGCCAGCGAGCAGGAAAUUCUCAGCUUUGAGGGUGAGCUCAGGGUGUUGUUCCUGCUAAGCACAAGCAAUUUAUUUUGCUUUGCUGGCGAUUUCAGCCGUGAGGCUGGGCAUUGCGCCGGGCCUCCUCCCUGCACUGCUCACUAUCUGCUCGCUGCUGUCACAGCACUGAUAGCACCUUGCAGAUACCAUCACACCGGUGUCACCGAUUAAGUAUUGCAGCACCGUGAGGAAGUGGGAGUCGGAUUAUUAAGAACAAGUCAUGAGACUUUUCCAUGCCUGUUUUCACAAUAACUAAUCAUAAAUGCUCCAUCCCAUCCUCAGGACUCUGAAUUUUAAUUACAUUUUGAAUUAUUGAGAAAUGCUGAGUGUGACACAAGGGGAAACGUAAAGGGGAAAAAAAAGCAGCAUUCCUUCAUCCAGCGACAUUACAGUGUUUAACAGGAUGUUCCUUUCAAAUCCAUUUUGUUGUAGAGGUUUUAUUAGCAAAGAAGGUCUAUUGAGACUUUAUCUUAAGGGAUGUAAGCGUUGCUCUUAAUUGCUUUUGCUCUGAGGGUUACACAGAGAUACUUUCAUGGGGCUGCAAAUGACAUUUCCCCUAUAAUGUGGAGGACGCCUUGUCGUCGUCUAAAUGAAAAGCACAGUUCUGUUGCCUGUCUUCAUAAACGGUCCUUUCAGAAGGAGAGCUUGCAUAGUCAAGCCCACAGAUGGGAGAGCAAAACUGGAUUCUCUGAGAGCCUCUCUAGGAGAGCAGCGCUGGGACUUUCCCAGUUUUCAGCACAGCAGGCUGCAUUCGCCGUGCCUGUUUUGGCCAACAGUGCAUUAUUUCAGUAUACCACGGUUUUGUCCAAUACACAUUAACCUCCCUGCUCCAUGUGGGAGCAAACCCAAAGCCCCUAACAAUCCACAGUGCCCACGUGUUAGUUUAUAUUCAUAAUAAAUAGCUGACGUUUUUCUCCCAAAGUAUUCCAAUGAAUAUUUCUGCUUUCAGCACCUGAAAUCAGGAGAUGUCAAUCUUACUGCUUAUGAACACCUAAAGAAGCAGCUGUGAAACUUGCUGUUUGAUCACAAAAACAUUCAGGGUUGGGAUUCCAGACCUCCUGUGUGCAAAAAACCACCUGAUGCCUCCCCAGCUCCUCCCUCUGCUCACUGAGCCACGUGCUCUGGGGUGGAGGAGAUAUGGAAAGCACCCUUGGGGGUGGAGGGACAUGGAGGUGUCCAGGCAGGAAGGAGCUUGGCAUUGCUGGGGAGCAGGCAGUGCAGCUUGGGGUUGCUUGCUGGGGCCAGUCGUGGAUGUCAGGACAUGCGACUGCAGCCCAUUGAGCUGUCGGCCACCUACAUGUUUCCAUAGAGGUUUGGAGCAGGGAUUCAUUUAGGGUGAAGAAUUUUUGUGCAUGGGAAAAGAAGAAGAAAAGAAAAAAAGAAAAGCUUAACUAAUAGGCAGUGUAAUUAAAUAGUGGGUAAUUGACAUUUUCAUUUCCUGUACUCUGCCCUAGGAGGAUAAUGACAGGUUAGGCCAUAUCAAAGUGUUUCUGAAUACCCCUAGUGACACGACAAGAGACAUUACCUACAGAAAUGUCUGCAAAGUGCUGGGGCCGGAGGCAAGGUUAGGCACUGUGUGCUUGAGGCCUUGUUCUGCUGAGGCACAGCAUGAGCACAUUUUGGCAGCAGGUGGUUUCCGUGCCAUCCUUUUUUGCAUAUCCCUGCAGAAACACCAGGCAGCCCCUGCUCCUCUCCAUUACGAGAACAACCCCAUUCACAGAAUGUCUCUUUCUGUGAAGA
This is a long non-coding RNA of Gallus gallus (chicken), 4488 nucleotides long. The record is from Ensembl. NCBI's taxonomy places the organism in Eukaryota, Metazoa, Chordata, Aves, Galliformes, Phasianidae.